AUUGAACGCUGGCGGGAUGCUUUACACAUGCAAGUCGAACGGCAGCACGGGGGCAACCCUGGUGGCGAGUGGCGAACGGGUGAGUAAUACAUCGGAACGUGCCCGGUCGUGGGGAAUAACGUAGCGAAAGUUACGCUAAUACCGCAUACGAUCUGAGGAUGAAAGCGGGGGACCUUCGGGCCUCGCGCGAUCGGAGCGGCCGAUGUCAGAUUAGGUAGUUGGUGGGGUAAAGGCCUACCAAGCCGACGAUCUGUAGCUGGUCUGAGAGGACGACCAGCCACACUGGGACUGAGACACGGCCCAGACUCCUACGGGAGGCAGCAGUGGGGAAUUUUGGACAAUGGGCGCAAGCCUGAUCCAGCCAUUCCGCGUGCAGGACGAAGGCCUUCGGGUUGUAAACUGCUUUUGUAUGGAACGAAAAGGCUCUGGCUAAUACCUGGGGCUCAUGACGGUACCGUAAGAAUAAGCACCGGCUAACUACGUG
Molecule: ribosomal RNA, 484 nt
Filed under: uncultured bacterium
Lineage: Bacteria
Description: partial 16S ribosomal RNA
Rfam family: Bacterial small subunit ribosomal RNA
Source: RNAcentral